UGGUUAUUAAUCAAUAAAUUUUGACUUUAUUAUUCUAGAGUUUCUAGGUAACCAA
This 55-nucleotide transfer RNA is filed under the name Lernaea cyprinacea. Its description in RNAcentral is "tRNA-Gln". The record is from RNAcentral. Lineage: Eukaryota; Metazoa; Arthropoda; Copepoda; Cyclopoida; Lernaeidae.